RNAcentral lists this small RNA (150 nucleotides) under Tsukamurella pulmonis. RNAcentral describes it as "c-di-AMP sequence". It matches the Rfam family "c-di-AMP riboswitch aptamer (ydaO/yuaA leader)". From Rfam's summary of the family: This family represents a conserved RNA structure found upstream of the ydaO and yuaA genes in Bacillus subtilis and related genes in other bacteria. The ydaO/yuaA element is thought to act as a genetic "off" switch for the ydaO and yuaA genes in its native state. The record is from RNAcentral. Lineage: Bacteria; Bacillati; Actinomycetota; Actinomycetes; Mycobacteriales; Tsukamurellaceae.
CCGAGGUCACCGCCUAAGAAGCCCCAGUGCUUCGCCGGGGACCCACACACGUUAUCCGGGGUGAAUCGCCGGAGGCUCACGCCUCCGGGGUAGGGCAUCUUCCUCGCCCGAACCCGUCAGCUAACUCGGUCGGCGGUCGGGAAGAAACUU